CUUUACGGAUAAUUGCGCACUUGCUAGACAAGUGUGAGGAAAGUCCAUGCUUGCACAGGCUGCGAUGCCUGUAGUGUUCGUGCGUAGUGAAAUCAUAAGCUACGGCCCUGAAUAGGUGACGGCAGAUAAACAGACUAAGGUUCGCUAUGUCUAAGUAGUCUUGAAAAGUGCCACAGUGACGAAGCGCCUAGAGAAAUCUUGGCGGUGGAACGGGUAAACCCCUCGAGCAAGCAACUCAAACAUAAUGGUAGAGGCACUUCCAAAGCAGAAAUGAAUGAUGCGGAAGAUAGGUAACACUAUAGACAGAUGAUUAUCUCGAAGAAACGGGCCUAGCGUUUCUUUAGACAGAACAUGGCUUAUAGUG
Non-coding RNA from Dolosigranulum pigrum ATCC 51524, 364 nucleotides. It matches the Rfam family "Bacterial RNase P class B". Rfam says of the family: Ribonuclease P (RNase P) is a ubiquitous endoribonuclease, found in archaea, bacteria and eukarya as well as chloroplasts and mitochondria. Its best characterised activity is the generation of mature 5'-ends of tRNAs by cleaving the 5'-leader elements of precursor-tRNAs. NCBI's taxonomy places the organism in Bacteria, Bacillati, Bacillota, Bacilli, Lactobacillales, Carnobacteriaceae. The record is from Rfam.